RNAcentral lists this ribosomal RNA (511 nucleotides) under Trypetesa lampas. Its description in RNAcentral is "partial 16S ribosomal RNA". It matches the Rfam family "Bacterial large subunit ribosomal RNA", at positions 1907 to 2633 of the family's 2925-position model. Lineage: Eukaryota; Metazoa; Arthropoda; Thecostraca; Lithoglyptida; Trypetesidae. The record is from RNAcentral.
GCCCACUGAAUUUUUUUAACGGCCGCGGUAUCCUGACCGUGCUAAGGUAGCGUAAUCAUUUGUCUCUUAAUUAGUGACCUGUAUGAAAGGCUGCACGAAACAAGACCUUUUUUUGACUUACUUAAUAAACUUAAUUUUUUAGUUAAAAAGCUGAAAUGAUCUAAAAAGACGAGAAGACCCUAAAGAGUUUAAUAAAAACACCCUUAAAGAAAAUUAAUUACAUAAUCUUUUUGGGGAAAUUUUUGUUUGAUUGGGGCGAUAUUAAAAUAAAAAAAACUUUUAAUUAACUAAACUAUAUUUUAGAUCUAUUCUGAUCCAUUAUUAAUGAUUAAAAGAAAAAAUUACCUUAGGGAUAACAGCGUUAUACUUAUUGAGAGUUCUAAUUGACAUAAGUGUUUGCGACCUCGAUGUUGGACUAAAAUUACUUUAUGGUGCAGAAGCUAUACAAGUGGGUCUGUUCGACCUUUAAUUUUUUACACGAUCUGAGUUCAGACCGGCGUGAGCCAGGUUG